This is a non-coding RNA of Podarcis lilfordi (Lilford's wall lizard), 82 nucleotides long. The record is from the annotation of a GenBank genome assembly. NCBI's taxonomy places the organism in Eukaryota, Metazoa, Chordata, Lepidosauria, Squamata, Lacertidae.
GUGUAGCUCACCGGCCAGAGCAUUUGCCUUGCAUGCAGAAGGUCCCAGGUUGUCCUGUCUGAAACCCUGAAGAGCUGCAGCU